AAGCCUAGUAGUUAAAAUUCAACCCCUGACCUAGCCACUGAUGUUAUCUAUAGAUUCCAGACAUUGUAUGGAAGGACAUUGUGAAACUUCCUGCUCUGUUCUGCUUCACUUUGACUACUGGUGCAUGCAGCUCCUGUCACGUACCCCCUAGCUUGCUCAAUCAGUCACGACCCUCUCGUGUGAAACCUUUAGCAUUGUGAGCUCUUAAAAGGGACAGAAAUUGUGCACUCAGGGAGCUCGGAUUUUAAGACGCUAGUCUGCCAACACUUCCAGCUGAAUAAAGCCCCUUCCUUCUACAACUUGGUGUCUGAGGGGUUUUGUCUGUGGCUUGUCCUGCUACAUUUCUUGGUUCCCUGACUGGGAAAUGAGGUGAUUAACUGACAGACGGUCGAGGCAGCUCCUUAGGUGGCUUACACUUCCCUGUGGAGCAUCCCUGCGGGGGACUCUGGCCAGCUUGAGCAAUGCGGAUCCUGAAAGGGCUCCUGGGUAGGCCUUUUCCCCGGUGGAACACAUCAUCAGAGCGGUGCAUGGCAGGUCCCCACAGAGGAUCAACGUAGUUGCUGAACACCAGGAAGGAGCUGGCACUUGGAGUUCGGACAUCUGAAACUCGUCUUAGGUAUUUCUUUAUAGGAACGCAAAAACAGAGAAUUUUGUCGGGAUCAUGGGACUAGAUUGCAACUCUGGACAGAGCAGCAUGUGGAGGCUUGCACUGUGCAUUUUAGCUCCAGAUCAACUGCAAGAACAAACGGGCAAUACUGAGAGGACUCACAGACCCUCUGAAGGAAGUGGACUGCUCCUGCAGGACCCCAGAGACACCCCAAAUACGGUGAGUGCCCCAACUGUGGAAGUAGGAAAGGGAGACCCUCCUCUCCUGAACACACAGCUGAAGGUCUGUUUGCAAGAGAAGUUUCUGACUUUACCUGGAGCUGAGUCAAGUCAGAGUGCCAAACCAAGUGAAAUACAGGGGUAGAGGGAGCAGCAGAAAGGCCCCUUCUUUUGCAGCUGGGAGGUGGAAAGUAUCCAGCAAGUUUUCAAGCCUGUCUCACCCUCUGCCUGGAAACAGACUCGGGGCUGUUGUGGGCUGCACAGUGGGACUGAGAAUGGCCCUCUGGUUUAUGUGGCAGCUGGGUGAGGCCUGUGACUGCUGAUUUUCCCCCACUUCCCUGACAACCUGCAUGACCCAGCAGAGACAGCCACAGUCCUCCUAGGUACACAAUUCCUGUGACUUGGGAAUCUCAACCCCAUCCCCCACAGCAGCUGCAGCAAGACCAGCCCAAGGAGACUCUGAGCUCAGACAUGCCUAGCCCCACCCCCACCUGAUGGUCUUUCCCUACCCAUCCUGGUAGCAGAAGACAAAGGGCAUAUAAUCUUGGGAGUUCUAGGGCCCCACCCACUGCUGGUUGUUCUCCACAGUACUACAGCUGAUGCUAUCUGGAAAGCACUACCUCCUGGCAGGAGACAACCAGCACAAUAAUAGAGCAUUAAACCACCAAAGUUAAGGACCCUCACAAAGUCCACUGCACCUUCUGCCACCUCCACCAGAACAGGCACUGAUAUCUACAGGUGAGAGACCCAUAGAGAGUUCACAUCACAGGACUCUGUGCAGACCCCAGUACCAGUCCAGAGCUGGGUAGACUCACUGGGUGGCUAGAUCCAGAAGAGAAACAACAAGCACUGCAGUUCGGCUCACAGGAAGCCACAUCCACAGAAAAACGGGGAGAGUACAACAUCAAGGGAACAAUCCGUGGGACAAAAAAUCCUGAACAACAGCCUUCAGCCCUAGACUGUCAGGCUUCUGAGCCGAAGCUCAGCCAUUGUAACCCCUGUGACCUGCACAUAUAUGUCCAGAUGGCCUGCAAGAGCCAAGAAGUCUGGGGCAACCCAAAACUACAGAAGAAGUAAAACAGCCAGCUCUUGUCUUAACUGAUUGACCAACCUUACAACAUUCCAUUAUGACUUGUUCCUGCCCUGCCCCAACUGAUUGAUCAACCUCGUGACAUUCUUCUUCUGGGCAAUGAGUCUUAUGAUCUCCCCACCAUGCACCUUGUGACUCCCUCCUCUGCUGACUGUAACUUUCCACUGCUUACCCCAGUCCUAUAAAACUGCCCCACCCCUAUCUCCCUUUGCUGACUCCUUUUUCGGACUCAGCCCACCUGCAUCCAGGUGAAAUAAACAGCUUUAUUGCUCACAGAAAGCCUGUUUGGUGGACUCUCUUCACACGGACGCAUAUGACAUUUGGUGCCAAAGACCUGGGACAGGAGGACUCCUUCGGGAGACCGUUCCCAUCCUCGCCCUCACUUCGUGAGGAGAUACAUCUAUGACUUCAGGUCCUCAGACCAACCAGCCCAAGGAACAUCUCAUCAAUUUCAAAUCAGAAAUGUAAUAUAAACGGAAUCACACAUCGUGUAAUCUUUGGGACCGCCUCAUUUCACUCAGCAUAAUUCUCUGAAGAUUCCUCCAGGUUGCUGCUUGUCCUGUGUUUGUUCCUUUUCAUUCCAUUGUAUGGAACGGUUCAACAGUUUGUUGAACCAUUUGCAUUUUGAAGGACAACUAGGUUGUUUCCCAUUUGGAGUUAUGACAAGUAAAGUUGCUACAAACAUUCAUGCACAGGACUUUGUGUAAACAUGUUUUCAUUUCUCUGUGAUAAAUCCCUAAAAAUAUAAUUACUAGAUCAUAUAGCAGUUUUUUAUUAAACUUUUAAGUUAUAGGGUACAUGUGCACAAUGUGCAGGUUUGUUACAUAUGUAUACAUAUGCCAUGUUGGUGUGCUGCACCCAUUAACUCUUCAUUUAACAUUAGGUAUAUCACCUAAUGCUAUCCCUACCCCCUCCCCCAACCCCACAACAGGCCUCGGUGUGUGAUGUUCCCCUUCCUGUGUGCAUGUGAUCUCA
Molecule: long non-coding RNA, 2890 nt
Filed under: Homo sapiens (human)
Lineage: Eukaryota; Metazoa; Chordata; Mammalia; Primates; Hominidae
Description: HSALNT0283810
Source: RNAcentral